GAAUAUGUACGAGCAGUAAAAAUAACAGUUUGGCUGACCAGCCCAAUGAUAUAUGUAGGAUAAGUGCUUAUGGGAGAUGGCUCUAUGUAAAACGAAAACCCAAAGAACACAGGUAGCUAAAUAGGGCCAACGCAGCAGCUGCUGCCUCAUGGGCUGAACUUGGGCAGGUAGCUGCCUGGUCAAGAAUGAUGUGAGGACACGCCCAAUAUGACAACGGGGCCAGGCGCUUCUCUUAUUCAGCCUUAACGGAACUGGUUCAAGGCCAGUCGCAGGUGGAACUAGUUAAAUGCAAUUUGUAAUUAAACAUUUGC
This is a long non-coding RNA of Drosophila novamexicana, 311 nucleotides long. RefSeq lists it as uncharacterized. The transcript is spliced from 3 exons. Lineage: Eukaryota; Metazoa; Arthropoda; Insecta; Diptera; Drosophilidae. The record is from RefSeq and is a predicted model, not a curated record.